AGUGAACGCUGGCGGUAGGCCUAACACAUGCAAGUCGAACGGCAGCACAGUAAGAGCUUGCUCUUACGGGUGGCGAGUGGCGGACGGGUGAGGAAUACAUCGGAAUCUACUUUUUCGUGGGGGAUAACGUAGGUAAACUUACUCUAAUACCGCAUACGACCUACGGUUGAAAGCAGGGGAUCUUCGCACCUUGCGCGAUUGAAUUAGCCGAUGUCGGAUUAGCUAGUUGGCGGGGUAAAGGCCCACCAAGGCGACGAUCCGUAGCUGGUGUGAGAGUAUGAUCAGCCACACUGGAACUGAGACACGGUCAAGACUCCUACGGGAGGCAGCAGUGGGGAAUAUUGGACAAUGGGCGCAAGCCUGAUCCAGCCAUACCGCGUGGGUGAAGAAGGCCUUCGGGUUGUAAAGCCCUUUUGUUGGGAAAGAAAAGCAGCAGGUUAAUACCCCGCUGUUCUGACGGUACCCAAAGAAUAAGCACCGGCUAACUUCGUG
This 492-nucleotide ribosomal RNA is filed under the name uncultured bacterium. RNAcentral describes it as "partial 16S ribosomal RNA". It matches the Rfam family "Bacterial small subunit ribosomal RNA", at positions 29 to 507 of the family's 1533-position model. The record is from RNAcentral.